UACGUAGGGGCCGAGCGUUGUCCGGAGUUAUUGGGCGUAAAGCGCGCGCAGGCGGCUUCGCGCGUCCGACGUGAAGGCCCCCGGCUUAACCGGGGAGGGUCGUUGGGUACGGCGGAGCUUGAGGGCGGGAGAGGGUGGUGGAAUUCCCGGUGUAGUGGUGAAAUGCGUAGAGAUCGGGAGGAACACCUGUGGCGAAGGCAGCCAUCUGGACCGACACUGACGCUGAGGCGCGAAAGCUAGGGGAGCAAACGGG
This 253-nucleotide ribosomal RNA is filed under the name uncultured bacterium. RNAcentral's name for it is "partial 16S ribosomal RNA". It matches the Rfam family "Bacterial small subunit ribosomal RNA", at positions 524 to 776 of the family's 1533-position model. The record is from RNAcentral.